This 303-nucleotide long non-coding RNA is filed under the name Ananas comosus (pineapple). RNAcentral describes it as "long non-coding RNA (ACOM_LNC026947)". The record is from RNAcentral. Lineage: Eukaryota; Viridiplantae; Streptophyta; Magnoliopsida; Poales; Bromeliaceae.
AUAAAAUUACUUCUGUCGUAUUGCUGAUGCUAAUUAUUAAUUUUCUAACUUCGAGUUGUUAGAAAUAUAUAAUUUAUUUAUUUAAAGUAUAUAUAUACAACACACAUGAGGCCUCAAUUAUGAUUCGAUUUAAUCAGCUUUCUGCCAUUUUGAAUAUAAUUCAAUCUAACCUGACCUCUCGUCAUUUCGAACAUGACUCAGUCUAAUCCGACCUCCCGCCACAGGACGGGAUACUAACAUUCUUAAACCAACACUUUCAAUGAAAUUUAUGAUCAGCAGUUUUAAAUGAAAAUUUGUAAUUUU